RNAcentral lists this ribosomal RNA (513 nucleotides) under uncultured Diversispora. RNAcentral describes it as "SSU rRNA". It matches the Rfam family "Eukaryotic small subunit ribosomal RNA", at positions 569 to 1081 of the family's 1831-position model. The record is from RNAcentral. Lineage: Eukaryota; Fungi; Glomeromycota; Glomeromycetes; Diversisporales; Diversisporaceae.
AGCAGCCGCGGUAAUUCCAGCUCCAAUAGCGUAUAUUAAAGUUGUUGCAGUUAAAAAGCUCGUAGUUGAACUUCGGGGUCUACCCAUUGGUCAGGCUUAAUUGUCUGCACUGGUGAGAUGGAUCUCUACCUUCUGAGGAACUUUCAUGCCAUUUAUUUGGUGUGAUGGGAAAUCAGGACUGUUACUUUGAAAAAUUAGAGUGUUUAAAGCAGACUAUCGUCUGAAUACAUUAGCAUGGAAUAAUGAAAUAGGACGGACUGAUUCUAUUUCGUUGGUUUCUAGGAUCACCGUAAUGAUUAAUAGGGAUAGUUGGGGGCAUUAGUAUUCAAUUGUCAGAGGUGAAAUUCUUGGAUUUAUUGAAGACUAACUACUGCGAAAGCAUUUGCCAAGGAUGUUUUCAUUAAUCAAGAACGAAAGUUAGGGGAUCGAAGACGAUCAGAUACCGUCGUAGUCUUAACCAUAAACUAUGCCGACUAGGGAUCGGACGAAGUUAAUUUUANAAAUGACGCGUUC